RNAcentral lists this ribosomal RNA (253 nucleotides) under uncultured bacterium. RNAcentral's name for it is "partial 16S ribosomal RNA". It matches the Rfam family "Bacterial small subunit ribosomal RNA", at positions 524 to 776 of the family's 1533-position model. The record is from RNAcentral.
UACGGGGGGGGCAAGCGUUGUUCGGAAUUACUGGGCGUAAAGGGCUCGUAGGCGGCCAACUAAGUCGGACGUGAAAUCCCCAGGCUCAACCUGGGAACUGCGUCCGAUACUGGAUGGCUUGAAUCCGGGAGAGGGAUGCAGAAUUCCAGGUGUAGCGGUGAAAUGCGUAGAUAUCUGGAGGAAUACCGGUGGCGAAGGCGGCAUCCUGGACCAACACUGACACUGAGGAGCGAAAGCCAGGGGAGCAAAAGGG